UGAACAUCAGAAUUGGUCCAAUAGAUUGCAUCAGAUUGUACCUUGGAAUCCAUUUAAUAAUUUGAAUCAGAUUCAUUUUUCAAAUGAUCAAAACUGUGCCAAUCCACUAUACGGUUGUGAUGCUGGCUAUUGUUGGUCUGAAUGCGAGUCCGCAUCACAAGUGCAAUCGGAUCCUGAAAGAAGCUCUUCUAGUACAUCAAAAUCGUCGAGCCGAACUUUUACUGGUUGCACUACUAAUCAAGAGUGCGCUGAAAAUAAUCAAAGUGUAAAUUUCAACUAAUUUUAAUCGUGUUAGACCUUUUAAUGGUUAUUAAAGAGUUUCUCAUCUACAAUGCAGUUUUUUUCGAUCAAAACUGUCCAUUCUAAUUGUCAAUAUUUGAUUGACGAGUUAAUUUUUUUUCAAUACUUUUAUAUGAAGAAAUCAAGUUGAAUACUUGUCACUUUUAUAUUAACCCUCUAGCUGGCAAGAUCGAAAAAAUGCGAAUUUUUUAUCAUCAACAUUUUCAAUAAACACUUUUCUUGUGCAGUAAAAAGAUGUAGAUUGAUAAAAAAAAGAACAACAAAUAAAUCAAAACUCAAGUAAACCAUCGAGUUAUUCUUUAUUCCGAUUUGACUCAUGCUUGAACAUUUUUUUUUUCUAAAUCUUUUUUUUUUCAAUCGAUCAACUGCUUCAUCUUAGUGAUACAUGUUUGAUAACGCAAUUGAUGGAAAAAUCUCGACGGAAGAUUGCAACGAAAAAAAUGCAUUUCGAAAGGAGUUGUCAGAUUACUUAGAAGAACCGUUUCAGUUUGUUUUGCUUUAAAUUAAUGUAAUCUUGACAAAUAAAUCUAAUCUUGUUUUUGGAUUUCACAAAUGAUUAUAAACCAUAUCCUCCCAUUGCUUGAUCUGAAAUGUGUCAAGAACUGCAAUAUAUACACAAACAAAGAAUUUAAUGAAGUCGAUUGCAUUCAAAUCAAAGUGCAUUCAAGUCUACAUUAAAAUAUAAAAUAAACAAAAAUGUUUUUUCACACCAAAGUUCGUUGCUACAUUUGUGUUGCCAAUUUUAUGCUUAGUUUUAUUUUAUUUAACAAUACCUAUGCAAAGCCAUCCUCAAACGCAAAGCAAGGUGUUGAAAUGGUCACACUGCCGAUGAAUGGAACAAACCGCCAACAUUGUACGAACGGAAAAUUUGAUUGUAAAGAUGGAUGUUGUUGGGCCGAAUGCAAUGUUCGAAUACAGAACACUACCCAUCUGAUAAUGCGCAGCACUUACAAAAAUUGUCACACUAACGUAGACUACGAGAGCUAUUAUCAACGAUUUUUAGUUGGCAUAAAUUCAUCUAAAUCAGCAAGAGCACAAAUUUUUAACGUUUAUCGUCAAGAUUGAAAACGCCCACUCAGAGCAGUCCAGAUUGACGUCAGUUUCAUUUGAAUUCAAUAGCAGACAAGUUCUAAAAUGUUUUUCUACCGAAAAUUCCUUUUUACACUCGUUGUGCUAGUUUUUUGCCUCGUUUCAUUGAACGGUGUCAACGGAAAACCAAAUUCGAGCACAGAAGAAGACGUCGAAACCGAAAUUGGAGCGGUUGAUCCAUCGGUGAAUGAAAAUACGCAACCAAUUUGUCCCAAACAAUCGAUAAAAUAUGGUUGUGAGAGUAAAUAUUGUUGGUCGCGGUGCGUGAUGAAACAACCAAAAUCGAGCUCAAAAGGAAGAAGUUCCAGUCCAUUGUACUCAGAGUUCCGAACUUCAACUGGUUGCAAUAGUGAUCAACAGUGUCAUAAGUGGGCGAUGGGAGGAUCAUUUCGGCGCAAUGAUGAUGAUGAUGAUGAUGAAUUUUGAAUCAAAAUGUUGGCAUUUUUUCGGCAAUAUUCGAAAAACGACAAUUUAUAAUUUUACCACAAACGUUUUUAGUUCUAAAACUGUUAGUGUUCAAUUAAAGUAAAAUGUUGAAUUUGUUAUUUUAAAUUGAUGUGUUUCAAUAAUCAUUUCAUGCAUUUGAACAAGAAAAUUAGUGAAACGAUAAAGGAAUAAAAAUAAAAUAAACCGUCGACUUAUUCCUUAUCGGAAAUUAUUCUCGCUGCAACACUUACAAUCGGUUCGCAGACUCAUUUUAGUGAUUGAAUUCAUUGUGUUUAUUCACGGGCUAAGUGAUAACCAAUGCAUAGCCCAUAAAUAGAAAUCUCCACUGAAAGUUCCGAAGAAAAAGUGCAUUACAAAUCUAUAUACGGUUUGAAUGGUUUCAAUUUCUUCUUUUCGUCAUGCACCGACACCGACAAUUGUUCCUGAUUUUGUCCUUAGAUUUUCUUUUCAAUUUUGAACCAUUUUUUAUCACCGCUUGAUCUAGCAGUAUGUCAAAAAAUGCAAUAUAAAUAUGCCCGCGAAAGUAAACCAAAAUCGGUUGCAUCCAAGCCUACAAUCAAUCAUAAAGUAAACGAAUAUAUUGUCCAAGCCGAAAUUCGUUUUUGCAAUUGUUGUGCUAGUUCUUUUUGCCUAGUUUCAUUCAAUGAAAUGAUACAAAUACAAAAUCAAUUAUUUAAAAACCGAAUUAUGAUUAAUCUCUAUCGACUUGAUGCUUGCUGCAACGCCUCUUUUAUAUUCCAAUCAGUUUACUGAUUCAUUUAAUUCAAGUUAAAUAAAUGUUCAAAGUAUCAUUAGCUCUGUUCGACUGUAGCCUAAAGAUUGUACUAUCUCCCGUUCUAUAUUUGAAUAUGUUAUUGCGAUAGCUGAUGCACAGAGACAGAUGAAUGAGCCAAGUCUGUUUCCAGCGAAUGUUAAUCAUGAAAAUGACUUCGACCAGUGCGUUUGUUUUAUUGUUGCUGUUCAUCGGUUUUAGCGAUUGUGCAUUUAAUUACAAAACUUUGGAUUGGCUAUUCGGUUCGGACGAAAGUUUCAAUAUCUACGGAGGUUCUAAUCAAAAUUCCGAUGAAAAUGAUGGAUAUUCGAGCUUUGCUAUGAAUAAAAGACAUCCACCAUGUUCUGCUCAAGCUGGUUGUAACAUGGGAGUUUGUUGGAAAAGAUGUGCAAAGGAUACAAUGCAUACAUAUGGUUCUAGAUGUUAAACAAUUGAUGUUCCGAGCUCACCUGAAAUCACAACAAAGUGUAAAAGAAAUUCGGACUGUAAUCCAUGCUGGCCGUGUGACAAAGGAAACAUUUGUGCAUUUUUAUCGAGAAAUUUAUCGAGAACUAACUAUUAAAACAGUACUAGGAAUGAAAGUAAUUGGUAAUUUGAGUGAAAUUAACGUAAUCAAGUGGAUACGAAAAGAUGGGAAAUUUUUGAUGGAAAAAAUUAAAAAUUCGUUUCUUCGUUAAGAAAAAAACAAUCCAAAAAUUGAUAGUGUCAUGAAAAAGUAAAAGAAAAGUCGAAGAUAAAAUAAUAGUCAAAGUACAAUAAAAAUCCAAACAUCUAAAAGAAAACGUCAAGCUUCACUCAUAUCUUCUUGGUUUAUUAUUUUGUGUUCACCACAGUAAAAGAUCAACAUCCACUACUAUGACAUGACAAACAUUUGGAAUGCUACAACAUUGACGGAACAGCCAAAGGGAAUAUAAAUUGAAAAGCAGUAAAAAUUGAGACGCAAUUAAAUCAAUAUCUUGAAAAUGUUGACGCAAUGAACUUUGAUUACAUUGUCAUUUUCAGUUCAAUUCUUAUCAAUACGACUUUAUAUGCAACAUUGAAGGCAAUUUGACUGCAUCGUUAUUGUGCGCACAUCUCGUUCGAUUUCAUUUUAAUGCGUACUUAUUUCUACGUUUACUUUAUUUAGCAAACUGAUGGCGAGAACUAAAAAAGUAUUUAUAUACACAAAAAAACGUUUAUGGCUGGAACUUUCAACGUUCCGAACAGAAAGGCGAAACGUUAUCUUAUUUUGCACCAAUCAAAUCGAUGAAUAUUUCAAUAAAAAGUUGUUUUUCUUAGUUUUUCAA
This is a long non-coding RNA of Sitodiplosis mosellana (orange wheat blossom midge), 3894 nucleotides long. RefSeq lists it as uncharacterized. The record is from RefSeq and is a predicted model, not a curated record. The transcript has 2 exons. Lineage: Eukaryota; Metazoa; Arthropoda; Insecta; Diptera; Cecidomyiidae.